This 351-nucleotide non-coding RNA is filed under the name Candidatus Brocadia. Lineage: Bacteria; Pseudomonadati; Planctomycetota; Candidatus Brocadiia; Candidatus Brocadiales; Candidatus Brocadiaceae. The record is from RNAcentral.
GUCUAGCUGAAUGUUCUGAGAUUUAUCAUUGUUCAAAUAUCCAGGGAAUCCCGUAGAAACGGGAGCUGCCCCGCAACUGUAACCGGUGACGAACGCUGCACGAUGCCACGGUCCUGAUUGGGGAAGGGCUCACCACAGAGACGCAAAGGUUGCAGAGAAAAACAGGAUGUUGAAAAAUUAAGAGGUUGUGAGAUUGCAUUUCUCAACUUCCGAUCUUCACAAUUUCUCAUAUUCUGUUCUUUUCCUCUGCGUUCUCUGCGAUGAACUAAGCAAUUACAAAAACAGGAUGGGAAGGCGCAGGACGUAGGAUGAUCCGGCAGCCAGGAGACCUGCUUGAACACGAUUUUAUCA